GAGGUGCUUGCACCUUAUCUUAGCGGCGGACGGGUGAGUAAUGCUUAGGAAUCUGCCUAUUAGUGGGGGACAACAUUCCGAAAGGAAUGCCAAUACCGCAUACGUCCUACGGGAGAAAGCAGGGGAUCUUCGGACCUUGCGCUAAUAGAUGAGCCUAAGUCGGAUUAGCUAGUUGGUGGGGUAAAGGCCUACCAAGGCGACGAUCUGUAGCGGGUCUGAGAGGAUGAUCCGCCACACUGGGACUGAGACACGGCCCAGACUCCUACGGGAGGCAGCAGUGGGGAAUAUUGGACAAUGGGGGGAACCCUGAUCCAGCCAUGCCGCGUGUGUGAAGAAGGCCUUAUGGUUGUAAAGCACUUUAAGCGAGGAGGAGGCUACUGAGACUAACACUCUUGGAUAGUGGACGUUACUCGCAGAAUAAGCACCGGCUAACUCUGUGCCAGCAGCCGCGGUAAUACAGAGGGUGCGAGCGUUAAUCGGAUUUACUGGGCGUAAAGCGUGCGUAGCGGCUUUUUAAGUCGGAUGUGAAAUCCCCGAGCUUAACUUGGGAAUUGCUUCGAUACUGGGAAGCUAGAGUAUGGGAGAGAUGGUAGAAUUCCGGUGUAGCGGUGAAAUGCGUAGAGAUCUGGAG
Molecule: ribosomal RNA, 631 nt
Filed under: uncultured Acinetobacter sp.
Lineage: Bacteria; Pseudomonadati; Pseudomonadota; Gammaproteobacteria; Moraxellales; Moraxellaceae
Description: bacterial SSU rRNA
Rfam family: Bacterial small subunit ribosomal RNA
Source: RNAcentral